This 253-nucleotide ribosomal RNA is filed under the name uncultured bacterium. RNAcentral's name for it is "partial 16S ribosomal RNA". It matches the Rfam family "Bacterial small subunit ribosomal RNA", at positions 524 to 776 of the family's 1533-position model. The record is from RNAcentral.
UACGUAGGGUGCAAGCGUUAAUCGGAAUUACUGGGCGUAAAGCGUGCGUAGGUGGUUCGUUAAGUCUGAUGUGAAAGCCCUGGGCUCAACCUGGGAAUGGCAUUGGAUACUGGCGGACUGGAGUGCGGUAGAGGAUGGCGGAAUUCCCGGUGUAGCAGUGAAAUGCGUAGAGAUCGGGAGGAACAUCCGUGGCGAAGGCGGCUAUCUGGACCAGCACUGACACUGAGGCACGAAAGCGUGGGGAGCAAACAGG